Molecule: ribosomal RNA, 168 nt
Filed under: uncultured bacterium
Lineage: Bacteria
Description: partial 16S ribosomal RNA
Rfam family: Bacterial small subunit ribosomal RNA
Source: RNAcentral
UGAGGAAUUUUGCGCAAUGGGAGCAAUCCUGACGCAGCAACGCCGCGUGGGUGAUGAAGGCCUUCGGGUCGUAAAGCCCUGUCAGGGUGGGGAAAGAAUGGUCCCCGGGACUGAACAGGUUUCGGGAGUGACGGUACCACCAGAGGAAGCACCGGCUAACUCCGUGCC